AAAACGACUCUCGGCAACGGAUAUCUCGGCUCUCGCAUCGAUGAAGAACGUAGCGAAAUGCGAUACUUGGUGUGAAUUGCAGAAUCCCGUGAAUCAUCGAGUCUUUGAACGCAAGUUGCGCCCGACGCCNUUCGGCCGAGGGCACGUCUGCCUGGGUGUCACGC
This 164-nucleotide ribosomal RNA is filed under the name Fagus grandifolia (American beech). RNAcentral describes it as "5.8S ribosomal RNA". It matches the Rfam family "5.8S ribosomal RNA". Rfam says of the family: 5.8S ribosomal RNA (5.8S rRNA) is a component of the large subunit of the eukaryotic ribosome. It is transcribed by RNA polymerase I as part of the 45S precursor that also contains 18S and 28S rRNA. Functionally, it is thought that 5.8S rRNA may be involved in ribosome translocation. Lineage: Eukaryota; Viridiplantae; Streptophyta; Magnoliopsida; Fagales; Fagaceae. The record is from RNAcentral.